UGCAUGUCUAAGUAUAAGCAAUUAUACAGCGAAACUGCGAAUGGCUCAUUAUAUAAGUUAUCGUUUAUUUGAUAGUACCUUACUACUUGGAUAACCGUGGUAAUUCUAGAGCUAAUACAUGCUAAAAAUCCCGACUUCGGAAGGGAUGUAUUUAUUAGAUACAAAACCAAUGCCCCUCGGGGCUCUCUGGUGAUUCAUGAUAACUCGUCGAAUCGCACGGCCUUGCGCCGGCGAUGGUUCAUUCAAAUUUCUUCCCUAUCAACUUUCGAUGUUUGGGUAGUGGCCAAACAUGGUGGCAACGGGUAACGGAGGGUUAGGGCUCGACCCCGGAGAAGGAGCCUGAGAAACGGCUACUACAUCCAAGGAAGGCAGCAGGCGCGCAAAUUACCCAAUCCCGAUACGGGGAGGUAGUGACAAUAAAUACUGAUACAGGGCUCUUUUGGGUCUUGUAAUUGGAAUGAGUACAAUUUAAAUCCCUUAACGAGGAACAAUUGGAGGGCAAGUCUGGUGCCAGCAGCCGCGGUAAUUCCAGCUCCAAUAGCGUAUAUUAAAGUUGUUGUGGUUAAAAAGCUCGUAGUUGAAUCUUGGGCCUGGCUGGCCGGUCCGCCUCACCGCGUGUACUGGUCCGGCCGGGUCUUUCACUCUGCGGAACCACAUGCCCUUCAGUGGGUGUGGCGGGGAAGCAGGACUUUUACUUUGAAAAAAUUAGAGUGCUCUAAGCAGGCCAAUGCUCGAAUACAUUAGCAUGGAAUAAUAAAAUAGGACGCGCGGUUCUAUUUUGUUGGUUUCUAGGACCGCCGUAAUGAUGAAUAGGGACAGUCGGGGGCAUCAGUAUUCAGUUGUCAGAGGUGAAAUUCUUGGAUCUACUGAAGACUAACUACUGCGAAAGCAUUUGCCAAGGAUGUUUUCAUUAAUCAGGAACGAAAGUUAGGGGAUCGAAGACGAUCAAAUACCGUCGUAGUCUUAACCAUAAACUAUGCCGACUAGGGAUCGGACGAUGUUAUUUAGUUGACUCGUUCGGCACCUUACGAAAAAUCAAAGUGCUUGGGCUCCAGGGGGAGUAUGGUCGCAAGGCUGAAACUUAAAGGAAAUUGACGGAAG
RNAcentral lists this ribosomal RNA (1101 nucleotides) under Metarhizium anisopliae. RNAcentral describes it as "SSU rRNA". It matches the Rfam family "Eukaryotic small subunit ribosomal RNA", at positions 52 to 1162 of the family's 1831-position model. The record is from RNAcentral. Lineage: Eukaryota; Fungi; Ascomycota; Sordariomycetes; Hypocreales; Clavicipitaceae.